GAUGAACGCUGGCGGCGUGCCUAAUACAUGCAAGUCGAGCGAACAGAUAAGGAGCUUGCUCCUUUGACGUUAGCGGCGGACGGGUGAGUAACACGUGGGUAACCUACCUAUAAGACUGGAAUAACUCCGGGAAACCGGGGCUAAUGCCGGAUAACAUUUAGAACCGCAUGGUUCUAAAGUGAAAGAUGGUUUUACUAUCACUUAUAGAUGGACCCGCGCCGUAUUAGCUAGUUGGUAAGGUAACGGCUUACCAAGGCAACGAUACGUAGCCGACCUGAGAGGGUGAUCGGCCACACUGGAACUGAGACACGGUCCAGACUCCGACGGGAGGCAGCAGUAGGGAAUCUUCCGCAAUGGGCGAAAGCCUGACGGAGCAACGCCGCGUGAGUGAUGAAGGUCUUCGGAUCGUAAAACUCUGUUAUUAGGGAAGAACAAAUGUGUAAGUAACUGUGCACGUCUUGACGGUACCUAAUCAGAAAGCCACGGCUAACUACGUG
Molecule: ribosomal RNA, 497 nt
Filed under: uncultured bacterium
Lineage: Bacteria
Description: partial 16S ribosomal RNA
Rfam family: Bacterial small subunit ribosomal RNA
Source: RNAcentral